RNAcentral lists this long non-coding RNA (1081 nucleotides) under Ornithorhynchus anatinus (platypus). RNAcentral's name for it is "lncRNA (ENSOANG00000047369.1)". Lineage: Eukaryota; Metazoa; Chordata; Mammalia; Monotremata; Ornithorhynchidae. The record is from RNAcentral.
AUUUGUUAAGCGCUUACUAGGUGCCGAGCACUGUUCUAAGCGCUGGGGGAGAGACGGGGUCAUCAGGUUGUCCCACGUGAGGCUCACGGUCUUCAUCCCCAUUUGACAGAUGAGGUCACUGAGGCCCAGAGAAGUGAAGUGACUUGCCCACAAUCACACAGCUGACAGGUGGCAGAGCCGGGAUUCGAACCCAUGUCCUCCGACUCACAAGCCCGGGCUCUUUCCACUGAGCCACACUGCUUCUCUAAUAAUGUUGGUAUUUGUUAAGCGCUUACUAUGUGCAGAGCCCUGUUUUAAGCGCUGGGGUAGAUACAGGGUCAUCAGGUUGUCCCACGUGAGGCUCACAGUCUUCAUCCCCAUUUGACAGAUGAGGGCACUGAGGCACCGAGAAGUGUAGUGACUUGCUCACAGUCACACAGCUGACAGGUGGCAGAUCCGGGAUUCGAAUCCAUGACCUCUGGCUCCCAAGCCUGGGCUCUUUCCACUGAGCCACGCUGCUUCUCUGGCCCCGAAGCAGCCAGCCCGGCCAGGUCCAACAUCAUUUGUUUAAGGCCCUGGGCCUAGUGAGGAGAAGGGGAAUCCUCAUGACUUAUAAACUCAAAGCCCCCCUCUAGACGGUAAGGUCCUGGUGGGCAGGAAUUCCAUCUACCAACUCUGUUGUAUUUUACUUUUCCAAGCACUUAGUACAGUGCUCUGCCCACAGUAAGUUUUCAAAUACCAUUGCUUGAUUGACUGACCUAUUUACACAAUCUGAAAUUAUUACUGACAUCAAAAGAAGUCACAACAUAAUGACGUUGUAUUAUUUUUGGUGUCACAUUAGAUGAAUUAUGAGACAGCCUGCACAACUGAGUUUGUUUCUUUGACUCCAGUGAUUAUACAAUAUCAAUUUAUUAUAUAUCAAACAUCCACGUUUGAGGUACAAUAGAGGACGAAAAGGGGCACGGCCUAUUGGAAAGAGCACAGAUCUGGGAGUCGAAGGACCUGGGUUCUAAUCCUGGCUUUGUCACUUGUCUUCUGUGUGACACUGGGCAACUCACUCCACUUCCUUCUGUGCCUCACUGACCUCAUCUGCAAAAUAGGG